This 18-nucleotide small nuclear RNA is filed under the name Arabidopsis thaliana (thale cress). RNAcentral's name for it is "snRNA_10049". The record is from RNAcentral. Lineage: Eukaryota; Viridiplantae; Streptophyta; Magnoliopsida; Brassicales; Brassicaceae.
UUAAUCUCAGAUACCAAG